This 313-nucleotide small RNA is filed under the name Arabidopsis thaliana (thale cress). RNAcentral's name for it is "ATSL066150". The record is from RNAcentral. Lineage: Eukaryota; Viridiplantae; Streptophyta; Magnoliopsida; Brassicales; Brassicaceae.
AAAACUAGCAAGACUAUCGAAUUCCGUGAAAUGACGAUUAUCCAAAUCCAAUCGAGGAACAUACCUCCAGAUAUUUCUCCAUUUGGUGGAUAAGACACUAGUCUUAAUCACAUCUUUUGUCGGAAGAUUCAGGAGAACAAGAACAAUCAAAGCUUCUGGCAAAUCACUUAUCCAAUCAACUUCAUCACCAGAUCCGUUGUCAGAAGAUUCAGGAGAACAUGAUCGUUUGGUACGAACACGUCUCUCUCCGUCUUCGUCCAUGUAACUUCAAAUUUGCGAAGAAAGCGGCAUAGAGUUGGUGAAAAUGAAACGA